GAUGAAGAACGCAGCGAAAUGCGAUAAGUAAUGUGAAUUGCAGAAUUCAGUUAAUCAUCGAAUCUUUGAACGCACAUUGCGCCCGCCAGUAUUCUGGCGGGCAUGCCUGUCCGAGCGUCAUUUCAACCCUCAAGCCCCCGGGCUUGGUGUUGGAGAUCGGCGAGCCCCCCGGGGCGCGCCGUCUCCCAAAUAUAGUGGCGGUCCCGCUGUAGCUUCCUCUGCGUAGUAGCACACCUCGCACUGGGAAACAGCGUGGCCACGCCGUAAAACCCCCCACUUCUGAAAGGUUGACCUCGGAUCAGGUAGGAAUACCCGCUGAACUUAAGCAUAUCAAUAAGCGGAGGA
This 345-nucleotide unclassified non-coding RNA is filed under the name soil metagenome. RNAcentral describes it as "partial contains 5.8S ribosomal RNA, internal transcribed spacer 2, and large subunit ribosomal RNA". The stretch from base 1 to 120 matches the Rfam family "5.8S ribosomal RNA", at positions 35 to 154 of the family's 154-position model. The record is from RNAcentral.